GGACUCUCACACGGACAGAGGCAUCACCUCCCAAAAGAAGUCCGUGUCAUAAAGGGUCCCUUGGUUGUGGGGUUUAAUGACAUGAAACUAUUCUAUUCACCUCCAGGGCUAAGGAAGUAUCUUUUGAUUUAUUGCACUGUUCUAAACACUAUGUAAUUAGAUGAGCUUGGAACUCUGCAAGGGGGGCAGUUUGUAGUGCAGAUCCGUUUCCCACUGAAGUGCAUGGAGGCUGCAGGAGCGGAGGUGAAGGGGAUGGAGGUGAGUAAGAGAGGGGAGUUCCCCUGCGGGGCCUUCAGACUCCAGCUGGGAUAAGGCGUGGUUGUGCUGGGCAGGGACCCUGCGCCUGUGCCCCGUCCUGCAGGCCAGCAAGUCGCCCUUCCUAGGAGGCAGUCUUCAGUCUACACUCUGCAAACAGCGCCCCCUGGAACCGUGCAACAUGAGGGUCCUGGCACUUUCGUGUACGAGUGUUUCUGAAAGAGGUGGAGUCUUUCUAUGUUGCCCAGGCUGGUCUCAAACUUCUGACUUCAAGUGAUCCUCCUGCGUUGGCCUCCCGAAGUGCUGGGAUUACAGUCGUAAACCACCACUCCUGGAUUAUCCUUUACUAAUUUCAUUCAUAGAUGAGAGAUUGGGAGAAGAAAGAGGAAACUGCCACUUAUUUUCCACAUAAGUGUCAUCUUCAAGGUGGAGCGAAAGAUGACAUUGCUGGUGAGAUGUUCAGCACUCUUUGGUCACGUUGGAAAAAAAUUGUAUUCGGUUGUCAGAGAUGAAGAAUUGUUAAAAACAAAAUCUUUUUUAUUCCUCCUAAAGACAUUACAGCUCACAAAAUCUCUGAUAGCUUCCUGUAGCAUGUAUUUUACUAUUCAAGGAGACAAUUGAAUGGGUUUAUUUCUUCUUAUGUUACAUCUCAGCUUUAAUAAGUAAUGUCUGGCUGGGUGCGGCGGCUCAUGCCUGUAAUCCCGGCACUUUGGGAGGCAGAGGCGGGAAGAUCACCAGAGGUCCGGAGUUCAAGACUAGCCUGGCCAACAUGGUGAAACCCCGUUUCUACUAAAAAUACAAAAAUAAAAUUAAAAUAAAAAUAGGUGAUGUCUUUGAGCUAAUUUAUGCUCUCCAUACCUUAUGAUCAUCUAGCUGUGUGUUGGCAAGUCCAGGAUGGUGGCUUUUGACGAACUGUGCUUUAAGGCAAACCAUGGAGUAGAGAAAGAUGGACAGCAGAGGAUUUGGGGCUUUAAUGGGCACACAGCCUGCUUAGGAGGAAGCUCAUUAGUCUGGAGCUCCUGCCCCUUGUCUUUGUGAAGCCAUUACUGGUCCCCUGGUAUGCUGCUCAUAGGCAAGGCAAAAGAAAUUUAUAGGAAUCAAAGCUUAUAGAAACAGCAACAACUUUAAGAGUCAGUUUGUUUAACCAAAUUAAAAUUGUUCUUUUUUUCUUCCUCCAUUCCCAGAAGUGCAUUUCUAUUUCCACUGAGUUAAUAAAG
This 1472-nucleotide long non-coding RNA is filed under the name Homo sapiens (human). Its description in RNAcentral is "HSALNT0160503". The record is from RNAcentral. Lineage: Eukaryota; Metazoa; Chordata; Mammalia; Primates; Hominidae.